AAUCUAUAGAAGUGUUUUCCGUGCUGGCUCAUGUACAAGUCCCUUGGAACAGGGCGUCAUAGAGGGUGAGAAUCCCGUCCUUGACAUGAACUACCAGUGCUCUGUGAUACAUUUUCAACGAGUCGAGUUGUUUGGGAAUGCAGCUCAAAAUGGGUGGUAAAUUCCAUCUAAAGCUAAAUAUUGGCGAGAGACCGAUAGCGAACAAGUACCGUGAGGGAAAGAUGAAAAGCACUUUGGAAAGAGAGUUAAACAGUAUGUGAAAUUGUUAAAAGGGAAACGAUUGAAGUCAGUCGUGCUCUUUGGAUUCAGCCGGUUCUGCCGGUGUACUUCCUUUGAGUGGGGUCAACAUCAGUUUUGAUCGCUGGAUAAAGGCUGGAGGAACGUAGCACCCCCGGGUGAACUUAUAGCCUCCUGUCACAUACA
This 423-nucleotide ribosomal RNA is filed under the name Filobasidium stepposum. RNAcentral's name for it is "partial large subunit ribosomal RNA". It matches the Rfam family "Eukaryotic large subunit ribosomal RNA", at positions 147 to 576 of the family's 3401-position model. The record is from RNAcentral. Lineage: Eukaryota; Fungi; Basidiomycota; Tremellomycetes; Filobasidiales; Filobasidiaceae.